GCAAAGUGGCGAAGCGGAAGUAAAAUAUGAAACGUGUUCAGUACAGUCUUUCUGCGAGUUACGCGAAUAAUGCGUUCCGGAGACAUUCGCGUCUCAACCCGCCAAGUACUUGGAGGUUCAAGUGAACACUGGAAAACCAGAUUCUUUACCGCCAUCGAUAACUGAAGAAGCAGCUUGUUGGAUAUGUAUGUUGGCCUGCUCACAAUAGGUGCUGGUAAAGCAAGAUGGGUGUCGCCCUGACAUGAACAUGAAAAGGCCCGGAGUCUCCCGGAGUCGUUCGGAGUCGCCUGGAGUUGCCCGAAGUCGUUCGGAGUCGUCCGGAGUCGUUCCGAGUCGUCCUCGAGGUUGUUGCCGUCAACUAAUAUGCUACAUCUCAGUUGUGCCUGACUGACUGAACCACUUGGAACUGGUAUUUCUUCUUGAUUGCAUUGAUCGUCAAACCAAUUAUUGCUGUUUCGUCUUGAAGUGUGCACCUUAUACUGUCGCUGUCGUUUCUCCGACAUCAAUGUUUCUCGUGUAGCCAAGAAAUUUGAGAGACUGGUAGAGAAGCCUACCACUUGUAUAUCCUCGCGUUUCAUGUAACAGUUUUCAAGGCGAUAUCGAAGAGUAGACAGAAGAGUGUAUUGUGUCCUUGCGUCCGAACUCUGCGAGAUUCGAACAAGUGUGACUUCAUGUGCAUCUCCGACCCCAUGUAAAAGAGCUCAUCCCUCAUACCAUACCCAUCGGUGCUAGCAGACUUGUGGCGCUUAAAGAGACAGAGUAACCAAAAAUAAAACAUACGUCGGCUAGCUCCCAAGAAAUUUACAGAACCACGGAUUAUAUGUUUACGACAUAAGGUAAGGAUAGUAGUUGUAGUUGUAGUUGUUAAUUUGCAGAGCUAUCUGACUAGCUAAUGGACAGAGACUGCUUGCAUUACCUCAAUGAUCUCCAAUCUGUGGUCUGUGGCAUGCAAAAAUGUGGUGCGAAAAAUAAUUGAUGUUUUGAAAAGGAAAGCUUAUAACAACAUGUACUACAUUUUUUCCAAUAAUCAAGAUUACAUUUUCAAUAUACUUGUCUAGAAUAAGAGCAAAACCAAUCAAGCAGCUUUGAAAAAAGUGUACGAAAUAUAUGUCUUUAAUUUGGCCGAUGAAACUGUAUAUGAAAUGGUAUGCGGUUCGUGA
This is a long non-coding RNA of Anopheles merus, 1160 nucleotides long. RefSeq lists it as uncharacterized. Lineage: Eukaryota; Metazoa; Arthropoda; Insecta; Diptera; Culicidae. The transcript is spliced from 3 exons. The record is from RefSeq and is a predicted model, not a curated record.